This 1929-nucleotide long non-coding RNA is filed under the name Marmota monax (woodchuck). Lineage: Eukaryota; Metazoa; Chordata; Mammalia; Rodentia; Sciuridae. The record is from RNAcentral.
GGACCAGCCACCUCCACUGUGCCCCACCUCAAGAAGCCUGGGUACAAUAAACAGGCUUUGCCACAAGCUCAGGAGUGUGAUCACCCACCAUUCCCAGCUGAGGAAACUGAGGACACAGGACAUGAUCAGAGGGAGCCCAGGUCCGGCCACAGAAUCCAUGUGCUUCAAGACCCUCGAUGAAGGACCGCGGCCCGGCCAUCAUUCCACUCCCGUCACUCUGUGACCCCUCUCGAGCCAGGUGGACCCAAACCCACUUCAGCAGCUGGACGCAAUCAGAGGUGACCCCAGUCCUCACUGACCUCUCUCAGGAUCUCUUGAGGGCGACUUGAAAAAAUCUGGUACCAGCCCAUUAGCAGCCCGGCCUCCCGCACGGCCUCCCCGACAGCUUCCCGCAAGACCCAUUGCCCCGCCAGACCUGCGCCCCGCCAGCCGCCCUCCCACACCUCGCUUCCCAGCAGGAAGUCCUCCCACCUAAGGAGUGGGGUCCCCAAGCAUCGCUUGGCGUCUUUGGGGGCUCUGCUAGGAGCCAGGGAGAGUGCAACCUGGAGACCUUCUACUGCCACCGGAGUCACUUCUGCCCUGUCCGGGUUCCGAGCAUCUCAGAAGCCCUGAUGAAUGUUAGGGCUUCCAGAACCCCCGGGGGUGCGGGUUAGGGAGACCCGCUAUCCCCGGGGGCGUGGCUCUCCGCGGCUGGCCUCGCACCUGGACGCUCCCCAGCCCCGCCCACCCGUGCCGCCCCACCCCCCUGCGCACCUCCGCGCAGGUGUCCCGUGGGUCCCCGACCUCGGAGCUUCCCAGCUGCGGAUCCUUGCCGCUGGGCCUGGGCGGGGCCGGGCUUCUCCUCCCCUCCCACCUCCUCACCCUUCCCCUGGGCCCCGCAACAGCUUCUCUGGUUGUUCCCCAGCCGUGUCCCUCCUCCGGGGGCUGCAGGCAGGGCCUGUGUCCACUGCCUUUCCGGUCCCUAGGGCGGGAGCUGGGCCUGCACCCAUCCGGCCCCCACCUGAGCCUCACGGUGGGGCUGUGGUCCUUGUCCUUGGAGGGGCUGCGUCUCCACGGCAUGGCGCCUCUGUGGAGGACAUGCCUGGCCUCAGUGCCACCCUGUCCCCAGGUCUGGCUUGUUGGGAGCCUGCCCCGGAGCCCACUCAGGCUGCCCUUGGUCUCUGGGAAGUGGGGCACACCCCAGCGGGCUGCAGAUUGGCGCACCCUGUGGGGUGACAGAGCUGUAUGAAGUGGUUUAGUCUUUAAAAUCCAGAGCGAGGGCCCUGGGCCCAAAUCCCCGAAGCUGGGUGACCUUGGUCAAUGUCACUACCACUUUGUGCCUCCCUGUUUCAUGCAGGCGGAGCACCUUGUGUCAGAGAAAUGCCUGGGACCAGAAUAGUGCAGACUUCGGAAUUUUUGAUUCUGGAAUACUUGUGGGUGCGGGAGGAGAGGGGACCGAGUCUAAACACAAAACUCUUUUAGAGCUGGGCAGGUGCAGCACCUGUCACCCUUGCUACUCUGAGGCCGAGGGUGGAGGAUCACUUGAACCCAAGACCAGCCUGGGCGACUUAGUGAGACCCUGCCUCAAAUAAAUAAAUAAGUAAAAAAUUAAAGAAAAUAAAUGCUUUGUGUGGAAUUUCCCACUCAGAGCAACAUGUCAGGCUCAAAAAGUUUUGAAUUUUGCUGGAGGCUGUAAUCCCAGAGGCCGAGGCAGGAGGAUUUCAAGUUCAAGUUCAGCCUCAGCCACUUAGCAAGAUAAUGUCUCAAAAAAAUAAAAAGGAUGGGGGAUGUGGCUCGUGGUAGAGUGCCCCUGGGGUCAAUCCUAGUACCAAAAAAUAAAAAGUAAAAAUAACUAGAAUUCAGACUUUGGCGCGUUUCAGACUUGGAGGGUCUUGGGGUGCCAACCGACAUCACCUCAUUCACACAGCAGUGUCUCCUACUCAGUGCUCA